GACGAACGCUGGCGGCGUGCUUAACACAUGCAAGUCGAACGGAAAGGCCCUGCUUUUGUGGGGUGCUCGAGUGGCGAACGGGUGAGUAACACGUGAGUAACCUGCCCUUGACUUUGGGAUAACUUCAGGAAACUGGGGCUAAUACCGGAUAGGAGCUCCUGCUGCAUGGUGGGGGUUGGAAAGUUUCGGCGGUUGGGGAUGGACUCGCGGCUUAUCAGCUUGUUGGUGGGGUAGUGGCUUACCAAGGCUUUGACGGGUAGCCGGCCUGAGAGGGUGACCGGCGACAUGGGGACUGAGAUACGGCCCAGACUCCUACGGGAGGCAGCAGUGGAGAAUAUUGCACAAUGGGGCGAAGCCUGAUGCAGCAACGCCGCGUGCGGGAUGACGGCCUUCGGGUUGUAAACCGCUUUCGCCUGUGACGAAGCGUGAGUGACGGUAAUGGGUAAAGAAGCACCGGCUAACUACGUG
RNAcentral lists this ribosomal RNA (468 nucleotides) under uncultured bacterium. RNAcentral describes it as "partial 16S ribosomal RNA". It matches the Rfam family "Bacterial small subunit ribosomal RNA", at positions 28 to 507 of the family's 1533-position model. The record is from RNAcentral.